UACGUAGGGUGCGAGCGUUGUCCGGAUUUAUUGGGCGGAAAGAGCGUGUAGGCGGCCAGGUAGGUCUGCUGUGAAAACUCGAGGCUCAACCUCGAGACGUCGGCGGAAACCAUCUGGCUAGAGUCCGGAAGAGGAGAGUGGAAUUCCUGGUGUAGCGGUGAAAUGCGCAGAUAUCAGGAAGAACACCCGUGGCGAAGGCGGCUCUCUGGGACGGUACUGACGCUGAGACGCGAAAGCGUGGGGAGCGAACAGG
Molecule: ribosomal RNA, 253 nt
Filed under: uncultured bacterium
Lineage: Bacteria
Description: partial 16S ribosomal RNA
Rfam family: Bacterial small subunit ribosomal RNA
Source: RNAcentral